AAUCAACGCUGGCGGCGUGCCUCAGACAUGCAAGUCGAACGAUUAAAGCUCUCUUCGGAGAGUGUAUAGAGUGGCGCACGGGUGAGUAACACGUAAGUAAUCUACCUUCGAGUGGGGAAUAACACCGAGAAAUCGGUGCUAAUACCGCAUAAUGCAGCGGCAUCGCAAGAUGACAGUUGUUAAAGAUUUAUCGCUUGAAGAGGAGCUUGCGGCAGAUUAGCUAGUUGGUAAGGUAAUGGCUUACCAAGGCUACGAUCUGUAACCGGUCUAAGAGGACGGUCGGUCACACUGACACUGAAUAACGGGUCAGACUCCUACGGGAGGCAGCAGUCGGGAAUUUUGGGCAAUGGGCGAAAGCCUGACCCAGCAACGCCGCGUGAAGGAUGAAGUAUUUCGGUAUGUAAACUUCGAAAGAAUAGGAAGAAUAAAUGACGGUACUAUUUAUAAGGUCCGGCUAACUACGUGCCAGCCGCCGCCGUAAC
Molecule: ribosomal RNA, 482 nt
Filed under: uncultured bacterium
Lineage: Bacteria
Description: bacterial SSU rRNA
Rfam family: Bacterial small subunit ribosomal RNA
Source: RNAcentral